AGCUGGAUUCGCUAGUAAUCGCGCAUCAGCCAUGGCGCGGUGAAUACGUUCCCGGGCCUUGUACACACCGCCCGUCAAGCCAUGAAAGCCGGGGGCGCCUGAAGUCCGUGACCGCGAGGGUCGGCCUAGGGUGAAACCGGUGAUUGGGGCUAAGUCGUAACAAGGUAGC
This 169-nucleotide ribosomal RNA is filed under the name uncultured bacterium. RNAcentral describes it as "partial 16S ribosomal RNA". It matches the Rfam family "Bacterial small subunit ribosomal RNA", at positions 1324 to 1500 of the family's 1533-position model. The record is from RNAcentral.